CUGAAAGCUCACCGGCAUGUUGAAGCCGUCGAUGACGGCAGGCCCAACGUGUACUUGGCCAACGUCGUGCCAGUGACAGCGUGGGCCAUCGCGUUUUCGGCAGUCGCCAGUGUUGCAGUGGCCGCGGCCAGCGCCGUUGAAGCUGCAGCCCAUGCUCCGCCGCCGUUUUGGAUCCGGGAGAAUCUUGCCGCUAGGAUCCCUACGAGCCGGAGCGCGCAGCGGUACAGGUCGCCGUCGUUGCCCACGGAGGCGCGCGCCGUCCCCGCGAAUCUCUCGGCGGCGACGAGAAGGCGGAGCGAGGAGGACGGCGGCGGCGCGGAUCUGGAGCAGCGACGCGGGAGGACAGCGGCGGCAGCGCGGAUUCUGGAGUGGAGCGGUGCGCGCGUCCUCGUGCUCCGCGUCCUCGCCCUGCCCUCCUCACCGACGGCGCUCUCCUCACCGCCUGCCCCAACGCCGAGCGGCGGCAGCAUCCUCGGGACCUGGCGAAGAAGCGGCGGCGGAAAGACGGCGGCGGCGGCGCGUCCUUGCCCCACCCUCCUCACCGACAGCGAUGGCGGCAGCGGCGCGUCCUCGCCCGCCCUCCUCACCGGCGACGGCGGCGUGGAUUGGAGCUGGACCCGGAGUCGUCGGAGUGGAAGGAGUUCUGGCUCGGGAAUCAAGGUCGGCCUCCUCUGCACGGCGCGUUCUCAUCCUUGCAUCUCUCAUCAGUGGGCCCCGCGCUCGACUUUUUGA
RNAcentral lists this long non-coding RNA (732 nucleotides) under Oryza sativa tropical japonica subgroup. Its description in RNAcentral is "lncRNA OsAzu_06g0001640". The record is from RNAcentral. Lineage: Eukaryota; Viridiplantae; Streptophyta; Magnoliopsida; Poales; Poaceae.